GGCGGUUCUCAGGUGACACACCCCGGAAUCGGGCUCCCUCCUCUCUGGUUCCAGAGUGCAUCACCCGAGAACUGCC
Non-coding RNA from Myotis lucifugus (little brown bat), 76 nucleotides. The record is from Rfam. NCBI's taxonomy places the organism in Eukaryota, Metazoa, Chordata, Mammalia, Chiroptera, Vespertilionidae.